Long non-coding RNA from Alligator mississippiensis (American alligator), 6983 nucleotides. RefSeq lists it as uncharacterized. The transcript has 7 exons. The record is from RefSeq and is a predicted model, not a curated record. NCBI's taxonomy places the organism in Eukaryota, Metazoa, Chordata, Crocodylia, Alligatoridae.
GCUGAAAUUAACUGAACUUGGCACUAACCAGCUGAAUCAGAGGGAUGAAAUGGUUGGAUAUGUUAAUGAAAGGUGAUAAAGCAGACCAAUGGACAAUCCUUAAAGUAAGACCCUGGAAAAAGGCCAAAUUAAAAGUUGUGCUUGUAAUGGGUUGAACAAAGGAAUACGCUGAGAGGAUAAAUUAUGGGCAAUAUGCUAACUGCAGAAAGACCAAUCUGAAAGCAAGGAGUCAUCAAAGGAGUCAAGUUAAAGAAAAGCAUAAAAGCGGGGAGCGAGAAAGUUAAGUGUGUUGUCGUUAUCAUCAUGAUUUUCAUCACAAAUCCAGCUUUCAACACCUGUCUGGAUCGGCCCAGCCAACAAUACACCCUUUGCUUCAGGAACUGAGUGGCUGUCUUUUCUGUGAAGCAAAGUAACAUCUGGGAUUGGGCUCUUCCACGAUUCAAGUUAAAUCAUAGUCUCUGAGCAUCUGAUGGCUGCAACUGUGGACUACAGAUCCCAGAGGCACCUGGAAGCAUGAAGAGGAAGUGAUGAGCAACCUGCAGAGUCCCGAUGCUGUAAUUCUGGAUUGCAAAUCCCAGAGACCUCCAGGGUAUCAGGAAGAGGAAGUGAAGACACAGCCAGUAGAGCCAUGCUCUAGCACCCCCCCACACCCCACCCCACCCCAGGGGUUCUGCCUUGAACCGCAUUUCCAGAAUCAAAGGCAAGCCCAACUUCCAGACUACUGCAGCUGGUAGCACAUUUUGAAGAGGAGAUGAGCAGGUGACAGUAACAAAAGAACAGUUUAGGAACUACUUAAAAAAACUAGAUGUGCACAAGUCUCUGGGGUUGAAAGGGAUGCACCUGAAGCUACUGAGGAUGCUGGCUGAUGUGAUUGCACAGCUCCUGGCCAUUAUCUUUGAAAACUCAUUGAAAUCAGGAAAUGCCCCAGACAAUUGGAAAAGGAUAACUAUAGAGACCAUCCUGAAGAAAAGGAAGAAAGAAGAUCUGGAGAAUGAAAGACUGGUCUACAUCACCUAAGUCCCUGGAAAAAAUUAUGGAGCAGGUCAUCAAUGAAUCCAUUUCUAAAUACUUAGCAUGGAUUCACCAAGGGCAAGUCAUGCCUGACUAACCUGAUUGACUUCUGUGGAGAGAUGACUGGCUCUGUGAAUGUUGGGAGACCAGUGGAUAUGACUGACUUUGACUUUGCAAGGCUUUUGACACAGUUUCCCACAUCAUUCUCACAAGUCAGCUAAGGAAGCAUGGGUUGGAUAAUACUCUAAGAUGACUUUAUAUGCACUUAGCAUCAAGAACAGCCUGUGCACACAGAUGAAGGCCCUGACCUUGGAAGGAAGUCCAAACAGGCAUGCCUUUGAACACAGCAGAGACCCAAUGAGACCUUGUACAGCACUGCAAGUCAAUCAACAGAAUGCUUCUUCUAGGACUAAUUAGGCUCUAGGAAUGACGAAGAUAAAACAAUGGCACACUGGGCAAAGAAAAGCCAAGAGUACCAAAAUGUCUUUGAGUUUAUCAAGAUCAUGCAAACUCCUAGCCUUACCCUAAAGAUUUUCUGAAACUCCACCCAAUUGACUGUCAUGUGCAAAUUUUGCAGCUCAUCUAUAAAAUGGGGAUCAUAGUGCCACUUCCCUACCUGCACAGACUAUUGUGAAGAUAUAUAUAUAUAUAAAGGAUUCUGAAGACCUCAGCCACUAUGAUGAUGGCAACCAGAUAACUACAGAGGACAGAAAAGGGCAGUGAGUGAAGUUGUAUUUUCCUUAUUUUGUUGCUUUACCCACCAUGUGGUUUUAGGCAAUUCAAUCAGGGCAUAAUCCAAAAUAUAUUAUUAACAGUGGGAGUCUUCUCACUGACUUCAGUGGAUUUUGAAUUAGGCCUGAUAUGGUUAAAAACUUAAUGAAACUAUAAUCAAUUUAGCUGAAAAGAACACUAUUUCACUGUCACACUGAAAACUUACAUUAAAAGUAAUGAGUUCAAUUUACAAAAAAAUCACUUGCAGCUCUAAUGAGGAAUGAGUUAUAGCUUCUGACUAGUCAAAUAAAAAUCCCCUCCUUUUUAAAAAUUCAGUUUAUCUCAAUAGAGUUAUACAUUUUUUUUCUAUAAAAGUAUUUCAUUAUUUGAAACUACUGUACCUACCUUUUUCAUGUCUUGUCUAGUUUUACUGUACCCCUACAGGCAUUAUAUUCCCUGAGUAUGAUCAAAAAGCAACUGCAGAAAAAACUGUCCAGCUGAAGAAAACUGUGGUAGGAAAGUAGAAGUCCUUGACUCCUCAUACAUCUUGCUUUAUUUUACCAGAAUAAAGGUUCAUCCCUUGCAGCGUGCUCUCAGCCUAACAUGAAACAUGCCUGAAACUACUAGAGUUCAGCACUGGUUAUGCAAAGGAGCCCAGUGGUUAAAUAUUGUCACACAAGCAGAUAGUCACAUUAAAAGCCAGUCAGUCCCUACUCUCAAUGUUUCAUGGCAUAUAGUCUUAAAUAACUGGGGUGUUGUUUGUUUGUUUGUUUGUUUGUUUUAUACAACCAGGGCUGAACUUGCUUAAAAAUUUUUCACAGAGGUGAUUCAUUUUAGGGGCCAUUUUUGAGUGGUGUUAUGAAGAUGAAAAAUUAUUUCCAUGCAGAACAAUACUGAACUAUUUUACACACCUUUCAAAUUGACCUACAAACUGUACACAUUACACAGAAAUUUCUUCACUCAGAAAUGAAAUACCAUUACUUCUGAGGAGCAAUGCAGGAAUUGAAAGUCUAAUAUAAUUGAAUCGAGGCAAUUUUUCACAAAAGCGAUCCUAUCUGGAAUAUCGCCAUUAGUACAUAUGAUGCAGUGGAAGAAUUCCAUUUUUUCUAAAUUUUUUAUUGUUAUAAUGCAGAUAAAACCUAAUCACAGCUAUCUCCCAGAGCAUAUAUAGUAGUCACAAUUAAAAGGCUAGUCUGAUAUGUGAGAACUAAUUUAUUCAGCAGUGUCCCCAUUUUAAGUACAGAAGGAACAUGCAGUUAGUUUAUAUUGCUGUAGUUUCACAGAGGUCAGUAGAGCUAUAACAGUUCACAGCAUCUAAGGAUCCUUCUUUCUGAAGUGAUAGAGUGAAAUGGAUAUAUAUAUAUAUACACAUAUAUAUUUUAAAAGGGUAUUAUAAAUAUGUGUUGCUUUAUAAAAUUACAUAUGAUGGGUUCUUUAAUAUUAAAUGGUCAAGAGUUAAAGUCUUUUCUAGAAGAUGAAAUGUUAGUUUGCAUUAUCUUGUUUCUAAAUAUUAAUGAACACUAGAGCAGUCUAAUUAUCAGGGAUCCCGGUUUUCUCUGAUUUAAAAAAAUCCCCAAUUUUUGGAUUAAAAAAGGAACCCCAAAUCCACAUUUUUCUGUUAUUAAAAUGAAAUACCACUAAUAGAUAGAUAGAUAGUGGCAUUUCAUUUUAAUGGGUUACUUUUUAAAAUCUGAAUAUUGGAGAUUUUUUUUAUAAUAAAAAACCAGGAUCCCUGGUGAUAUGGGUGGAGCAGGGCUUCCCAAUAACCACUUGGAAUCCAGCAACAGACCACUACCGGUACCAGUUGGCCAGCAUCCUGUGAAUGGUAAAGUAUCACCCUUCCCUUAACAGCGGAGAAAGAGUACCCAGAAAGCAGGAAAUCUAGGGAGGUGGGAAGUCUUGAUAGCCUUAACGGUGAACACAGCGGUUGUGCUUCCCUAUAUAUUGCAAGCACACAGAUUGAGGGUCUGUGUUCUGUCUCUCUGUUCUCUCUCUCUCUCUGUAAGUUUCCACUCACCAUUGUAACAUAUUUCUUGUAUAUAAUAUUUUUGUUGUUAUUAUUUGUUAGUAUUAUAAUAUAUUCCUGUGGUUCUCACUUAACAAACAAAUCUGUUCAUUUUAUACUAAUUACUUUAGCAGUGGGAUAGCACUGGACUGUAUAUGAACACCCUGCUGAGACCUGCUUGCCACCAUUAAAUAUCCAGGACUGAAUUCUGGGAGAAGUAACACCCUCAAUUGCAUGAUUUAAUUCCUAGCAGGAACACUAGCACAUCCCAGUCAAAGUCCCCAGCUUUGGCUGUAGCCAACACCCAAUGCCUCUGAGGAAGGCUUAAAAAAAACCCCCAACCCUCCUGACAUACGUAGCAGCAGAAGAGUAAAAAAAAAACCUCCUGGUUCCUUGAGGCAACUAGCAAAUCCCAGAAGCAUAGGAAAUAUCCAUAACUGAUCAAAGGCAUAGCUACAUUUAAAUCAAAUCUGACUAGAUCGGUUGUCCAAUCUUCUUGAACUCCUCUAAUGAUAGAAAGUCCACAACCUCACUAGUCACUUUAUUACACAUCCUCAUGAUUUGAACAAUGAAGAUGUUCAAACUAAACUUGCUUCAACUUCAAGCCAUUGGUCCAGAUCCCACUCUCCACCACAAAAGAGAAAAGGUAAUUUUCCUUUUCUUUAUGAUAGCCAUGUAAGUGUUUGAAUGUUCCUACCAUAUCCCUUUUCUGAAAGCUGACCAUGCCUUUUCCUUCAAACUUUCCUAAAAUUAUUUCUUUCAAAGUCUUUAUCACUUUUUCUGCCUGCCUCUGGCCUUCUCUAACUUUUCCACAUCUUGUUUUAAAAAUGUGGAGCCUAAAACUGCACACAAUACCCUAGAUAAGGCCUAACCAGUGCUGAGUAGAGAGGCACUGUUAUCUCUAAUGUCUUGCACCUAAUGCUUCUAUUGGUGCAUCCCAAAACCAUAUUUGCUUUUUGUUGAGCUGCAUGACACUGCAGAAUCCUAUUGAGUCCACGAUCUACCAAGACUCCCUGAUCCUUCUCUGCAGUGCUGCUAUCCAUCCAGGUGUCACCCAAUAUUUUGAGAUCCUUCUGAAUUGUGCUCCUGUCCUCCAUGUUUACAAUCUUUUCUGCUACAUUUCAUCUGCUAACUUGAUCAAGAAGUUUUCUGUCCUGGCAUCCUAACAAUUAAUAAACACAUUGAACAGCACUGGGCCCAGGCCAGACCCCUGUAGGACCUCAUUCAAAACCACCUGUCAUCCUAACAUAGAUCCAUUUAUAUAAUUACCCUUUGCUUGCAGCUAUUCAACCAGUUGUCUAUCCACAUUAUAGUAGUUUUGUCCAGCCCACAUUUAUCCAAAUUGUUUAAGAAAAGGGCAUGUGGAACUUUGUCAAAAGCCUUGCUGAAGAUCCUGCCUGUAGAUCCUGCCUGUAGAUCCUGCCUGACAAACCUUGUAGCCUUCUAUGACCAGGUCACACACUGCUUGGACGUGGGAGCCAAGGCUGAAAUCAUCUUCCUGGACUUUAGGAAGGCCUUCGACGCAGUUCCGCACCCUAUCCUCAUUGGAAAGCUAACAGACUGUGGAGUGGACACCUACAAGGUCAGGUGUCUACAUCAUCUUCAUCCAGAAGGACAUCCAAAGAUUGUAUCAAUAUUUCCUGGGUUUUCUGAGGUUCAGUUUCUCAUGCCCAAAUUGCAGUGGUCAUAGAAAAAGAUGGAGGCAUAUAAACACAAGUGUUUCCAUCAAUUUUCCAGAAGUGUGGCAUUGGAUUUAAGUCCAUUUUUUACCUCAGAAGACUUGAUUUACCAAGCAGUAAAAUACUAGUACAUCUACGUAUCUGCUUUUCUUCUGUAAGAAACAUUCUUGAUUUACAAUCAAUGCUUAUUCUUUUGCUAAUUCCAAGUAUUCUUCAAUAUAAUUACUUGUCUGAUGGAAAGUAGUGCUUUUAUUCAUAGGGGAGAUGGGAAUUCAACAUUCUUAAAAAAAAAAAAUCCUUUAUUUUUGCUUUACAGUGUUUAUUCUCUUCCUGUAACAAACAUCAGUUUUCUCCUCUCAAAUUAUUUACAUUAUAGGAUAAUUCAACAUAUAUAUAUUUUUCCAUAUAUCUAUAUAUCUAUAGAUAUAUCUAUGGAAAAAAAUAUACUCCAGCAUGUAAGAUCUGCAUUUAAAUUGAACAUAUAGUCUAAUUUAAUGUGUGCACGUGCACAUGCACCAUUCUAGAUGUUCAGGUUAAGGAGUCAUAGGAUCUCAUGCUCUGUCCACACAAUUGUACCACAUGAUAGAAGCAUGAUUGUGGGAUCUAGUAUCAGAUCACAUCAUGGUUUAUUGGCAGUUAUGGCAAGCCCAGCAUCCUCCUGCAUGAGAAAGUAGCAAGAUUCUGCAGCUGAGUCCCCCAGCUGAUUGGACUGGCAGCUGUGGCAAUGAAUGUUUCGUCUUUGUAUCUGGAGUUAACGGGGCUCCUAGCCAUGCGGGCACCUUGCUAUAUGUGCAAAUUAGAAACCAGCUAUAAAGUUAUUACACAUUUCCCAGCUCUAACUUUAUAGCUGGAUAGAUCUUUUUUAUGGCAUGAUAGUUAAUUUACCUGUUUAGUGAGUCUAAAUUAAUUGUGCAAUUAACCAGUUAAUUGCAUAAUACAUGUAACAUGUACAGGGGACUAGAGAAGGCAAAAAAUUGAAAAAAAAAUUAUUGAAAUAAGUAAUACCAGUUGAGGUAGAUAAUCAUACUAGUUUUAAUUACACUAUACUGAGGGGAAAGAAAUAAUUAGUUUUAGAAUAUCUCAAAUUAGUAUUUCUAAAUUGUUGGUAUAGUAUCUGUAGUUUUUCAGUAAAUGGAAGGUAAAUAUUUUGUAUGCAUCAUUAAACACUGCUAGGAAAGGAUUUUUUCUAUUUAGAUUUUUUCAUCCACUGGAAGUGGAAAAAGGCUAAAUGUGUCAGGAGCUCUUUCCCUUUAAUUUGUCUGCCAUGUAGUGCUUAGGAUGUUGGGCAAAGGUGAAAGUUAUCAAUUUGAUUUUAAAGGUUGGUACAGCUUAUGCAUCCCUCCUUACUUCUUGCCACCUAAAUCCAAGUACAAUCUAUUCUUAUAACUUUAGUAUUUCAGAGAUAGCUAACAUAAUAACCCAAUAUCCCUAUUUUUUAAGUUAUUCUGCAGGAAUUCAUUGCCCACACCUGCUGAAAAACAAUCAGGAUCAGAGAUCAACUCUACUUCCACAAAAGUCAGUGGCAAAUAUCCAGGGAGUCAAAAAAACCCUCACAAAAAAAAAAAAAAAAAAAAGAA